This 723-nucleotide ribosomal RNA is filed under the name Hydnum repandum. RNAcentral's name for it is "eukaryotic LSU rRNA". It matches the Rfam family "Eukaryotic large subunit ribosomal RNA", at positions 70 to 782 of the family's 3401-position model. Lineage: Eukaryota; Fungi; Basidiomycota; Agaricomycetes; Cantharellales; Hydnaceae. The record is from RNAcentral.
AAGGAUUCCCUUAGUGACCUGCGUAGUGAAAUGGGAUGAGCUCAAAUUUGAAAUCUGGUAGUCUCUGGCUGCCCGAGUUGUAAUCUAAAAAAGUGUUUCCUGUGCUGGACUGUGUUUAAGUUCCCUGGAUAUGGAACAUCAUAGAGGGUGAGAAUCCCGUCCUUAAUACAGACUCUCCAGUACUAUGUGAUGCACUCUCAACGAGUCGAGUUGCUGUGUUUAAGUUCCCUGGAUAUGGAACAUCAUAGAGGGUGAGAAUAGCGAACAAGUACCGUGAGGGAAAGAUGAAAAGCACUUUGGAAAGAGAGUUAAACAGUACGUGAAAUUGUUAAAAGGGAAACAAUUGAAGUCAGUGCAUCUACUUGGACUCAGCCUUACUUUUGGUCUGGUGCAUUUCCUUGUGGAUGGGCCAGUGUUCACUUCAUGUUGAUUACUGGAAAAGGGGCUAGGGAAUGUGGCUCUUUUGGGAGUGUUAUAGCCUUGGCUCAUACAGUAAUUAAUAUGGAGUGGUACAGCAUGCUUCGGUGGUGCUUGUGCUGGCAUAAUGGCUUUAAAUGACCCGUCUUGAAACACGGACCAAGGAGUCUAACAUGUCUGCAAGUAUUUGGGUGAUAAACUCAAAUGCGUAAUGAAAGUGAUAGCUGGGAACCCUGAAAAGGGGGCACCAGUACCCCGAGCGGAUCUUUCUGUUUNCCUACACANNUACCCACGUGUCUGUUANNA